GGCCGCGAAUUCGCCCUUAGGGUUUGAUCAUGGCUCAGAUUGAACGCUGGCGGCAGGCCUAACACAUGCAAGUCGAGCGGUAACAGGAGAAAGCUUGCUUUCUUGCUGACGAGCGGCGGACGGGUGAGUAAUGUAUGGGGAUCUGCCCGAUAGAGGGGGAUAACUACUGGAAACGGUGGCUAAUACCGCAUAAUGUCUACGGACCAAAGCAGGGGCUCUUCGGACCUUGCACUAUCGGAUGAACCCAUAUGGGAUUAGCUAGUAGGUGGGGUAAAGGCUCACCUAGGCGACGAUCUCU
This 298-nucleotide ribosomal RNA is filed under the name uncultured bacterium. RNAcentral describes it as "partial 16S ribosomal RNA". It matches the Rfam family "Bacterial small subunit ribosomal RNA", at positions 1 to 284 of the family's 1533-position model. The record is from RNAcentral.